AGGGAAUAUUGGACAAUGGGCGCAAGCCUGAUCCAGCCAUGCCGCGUGAGUGAAGAAGGCCCUCGGGUUGUAAAGCUCUUUUGUCCGGAAAGAAAAGCAUUCGGUUAAUACCCGGGUGUUCUGACGGUACCGGAAGAAUAAGCACCGGCUAACUUCGUGCCAGCAGCCGCGGUAAUACGAAGGGUGCAAGCGUUACUCGGAAUUACUGGGCGUAAAGCGUGCGUAGGUGGUUUGUUAAGUCUGAUGUGAAAGCCCUGGGCUCAACCUGGGAAUGGCACUGGAUACUGGCAAGCUAGAGUGUGGCAGAGGGUAGUGGAAUUCCUGGUGUAGCAGUGAAAUGCGUAGAGAUCAGGAGGAACAUCCGUGGCGAAGGCGACUGCCUGGGCCAACACUGACACUGAGGCACGAAAGCGUGGGGAGCAAAC
Molecule: ribosomal RNA, 425 nt
Filed under: uncultured bacterium
Lineage: Bacteria
Description: bacterial SSU rRNA
Rfam family: Bacterial small subunit ribosomal RNA
Source: RNAcentral